GACGAACGCUGGCGGCGUGCUUAACACAUGCAAGUCGAACGGAAAGGCCCCUUUGGGGGUCCUCGAGUGGCGCACGGUUGCGUAACACGUGAGUAACCUGCCCUUUACUUCUGGAUAACUUCAGUAAACUGGGGCUAAUACCGGUUAGGAAUCCUUGCUGCAUGGUGGGGGUUGGAAAGCUUCUGCGGUUUUGGAUGGACUCACGGCCUAUCGGCUUGUUGGCGGGGUAGUGGCUUACCGAGGCUUUGACGGGUAGCGCGACUGUGAGGGCGACAGGCCACACUGGGACUGAGAGGCGGCACAGACGCCUACGGGAGGAAGAAGGGGGGAAUAUUGAUCCAUGGGCGCAGGGCGGAUGCAGAAGCGCCGCGGGCGGGAUGACGGCCUUCGGGUUGAAGAACGCUUUCAGCAGGGGCGAAGCUUGUGGUGACGGUACCUGCAGAAGAAGCACCGGCUAACUACGUG
This 465-nucleotide ribosomal RNA is filed under the name uncultured bacterium. RNAcentral's name for it is "partial 16S ribosomal RNA". It matches the Rfam family "Bacterial small subunit ribosomal RNA", at positions 28 to 507 of the family's 1533-position model. The record is from RNAcentral.